UACGUAGGGGACGAGCGUUGUCCGAAGUUACUGGGCGUAAAGAGCGCGUAGGCGGGCUUCUAAGUGAGAGGUGAAAGGUUCGGGCUCAACCCGGAGAGUGCCUUUCAUACUGGGAGCCUUGAGUGCGGGAGAGGCAAGUGGAAUGGUCGGUGUAGCGGUGAAAUGCGUAGAUAUCGAUCGGAACACCCGUGGCGAAGGCGGCUUGCUGGCUCGCAACUGACGCUGAGGCGCGACAGCAUGGGGAGCAAACGGG
RNAcentral lists this ribosomal RNA (253 nucleotides) under uncultured bacterium. RNAcentral's name for it is "partial 16S ribosomal RNA". It matches the Rfam family "Bacterial small subunit ribosomal RNA", at positions 524 to 776 of the family's 1533-position model. The record is from RNAcentral.